AGGAACAAGAACACCCCUCGGGGUGCAGGGAUGCUCAGAGUGGCACUGGUGUGUCCGCCUCAGGUGGGAACAAGGUGUCACACGGGAAUUUCCACCCUGUAGUAGGGUGGCGGUGACCCGUGCUGAGAGGGGAGAUGGAGAGCCAGUGGGAGUGGAUGAGGACACCUGAGGGCCGAGGCAUGGACAUGCCUGCAGGUCUCUCUCUUUUGAAGGGCCGCUGGCUGAUCCAGAAGGAAGUGACUUGUGCACGUGCUGCCGCUGGUUAGUGACGGAGGCAGGACCAGGCCAGCUUCCCCACUGUCCUGCCAGCCGUGGGCCAAGCACAGUCGUCUGCCACUGCAGGAGGGUCAGCUGUGUGUCGGCUGCAUUUCCUGCCUCCAAGCCCACUCAAAAGGAGAACAGCUGGCCUGAAUCCUGAGUAACCAGGGGCAGAUGGCAGUGUGGCAGCCUGCCAGCCAUGCACAUCUCAGACUCAGCCAGACGUUGGUUGAAGUGUGGAGAACAGACUUCCAUCAGCAAUAACUCGGGCGGAGGGGAGAGCCCAGCGUGAACCGAACUCCACUCGGUUGUGCAGAUGAGACUUGUUGUAAGGGGAGAAGGAAGAGUGGAGAGGGGAGAGCUGGGGUCGAUGGUGUCACAGAGGUCGAAAGUCACAAAAAGUGGGAAGGGUACCCCAAAACGCAUUUGCCGUAAUAGUUGCUGAAAAGCAGCCUGAAGGGAGGAUGUGCUGAAGCCCUGAAUGCUGCUCGAGCCUCCGCUUCCUGGGAGAAAGGACUCAAGUCAACGCUCUUGCGGCGUUGGGAGUCCCCUUUGUCCUCUGCACAGUUACUCACAGAAACACACCCCAAGGAAUAGGAACUUUGGACAUUUUAUAAUUUUGGUCUAGUUUCUUGAACAGCUCAGGAAAAACGAGUGACAUUCCUCCUGUUUUGGAUUUUCUCUGAUCUUAGAGCUCAAACUAAUCCCUGCUGGGUUGACAAGCAGUUGCAUCAGCUUCGCCCCUUAGGACAGCGGCAGGACCUUCCGAGUGCCCAAACCAGAGGCGCCGACGUUCACACACACUUCCUCCACCCUCUGGCUUAAAGCUGUGGAUGAGUCAUGUUUUAUGUUAAGCAUGUGACUAAAGUAUGUUAUUAAAAGUUAAAUUAAAAAAAAGAAGCAGG
Molecule: long non-coding RNA, 1163 nt
Filed under: Equus asinus (donkey)
Lineage: Eukaryota; Metazoa; Chordata; Mammalia; Perissodactyla; Equidae
Description: lncRNA (ENSEASG00005031162.1)
Source: RNAcentral